UUGAAGUAUCUCUCUAAGUACAACAGGGCAAACAAAAUCCGACCAAAUUGAAAUGAACCAUAAUGCAUUAAAAGUUCAACACACAAAAAAAAAAAAAUCCUAGAUCAAAGGAUUCUACGGCAAACAAAACAUUGAGAAGCAUUUUCAUCCACAGUCCAAUUUCUCUGAUAAAAAAAUGGUGCUCUCACUCAGCAAAUUAUAUGCUAUCGCCACUCUUGCAAAUAUCGAGCUUUCUGAUCAAUAGAGUUACUGUGCUAGAAAUACAGCAUCUCAAUUAUUUUCUGCAAACUUUAACAUCAAGAGUACAGGUAGAGGAAUAUUCUUCGGCAAAAGUGGCAGCACUUCAAACUCUCCAAAGGUUGACAGUGCAGACGGUAAAUAAAGCUUAUCUGGUUGGAUGUUUACGCAAAGCUGCCUUGCCACCUGUAAAAAUUGAACAGCUUCAGUCAAUCAUCACAUUCAUAUUUCCACAGAUCACUUCUUUCAUGAUUACAUCUUGAUUUACAAAAAAUUGUUGGGUUAAGUAGGGAUCAGAUCACUAAAAUGAAUUCCAAACCUUCACAUGGGCGCAUACACAAGAAGAUUGAUUGCAGCAUGUUGAAAUCAAUAUGAUUGUGGUCAGACAGGGAACACCAGACAACCACUUUUAGAUUUAAGUUCUCAUGAAAUUUCCCAGUUCCACAAUGAAACACUCCAGGUAAAAUACUGUCUUCAAAAAUCAUCAGUUGCUCUUGACGCAAGGGAUACAAUUUAGCUCCUCAAUGCCCUCCACAGUAUAAUAUGGAAAUUUAUCACCCUUUUCUAGAAUAAAUAAUUUGUUUCAUUUUCAUAAAAAA
This 836-nucleotide long non-coding RNA is filed under the name Aquilegia coerulea. RNAcentral describes it as "long non-coding RNA (ACOE_LNC001157)". Lineage: Eukaryota; Viridiplantae; Streptophyta; Magnoliopsida; Ranunculales; Ranunculaceae. The record is from RNAcentral.